Molecule: ribosomal RNA, 746 nt
Filed under: uncultured Oribacterium sp.
Lineage: Bacteria; Bacillati; Bacillota; Clostridia; Lachnospirales; Lachnospiraceae
Description: bacterial SSU rRNA
Rfam family: Bacterial small subunit ribosomal RNA
Source: RNAcentral
GAUGAACGCUGGCGGCGUGCCUAACACAUGCAAGUCGAACGGGAUGCGUAUCGGAAAGCUUCGGCCGGAAGAUACGUUAUCUAGUGGCGGACGGGUGAGUAACACGUGGGUAACCUGCCUUAUGGAGGGGGAUAACAGAGAGAAAUCACUGCUAAUACCGCAUAAGCACACAGUACCGCAUGGUACAGGGUGAAAAGAUUUAUCACCAUAAGAUGGACCCGCGUCUGAUUAGCCAGUUGGCAGGGUAAAAGCCUACCAAAGCAACGAUCAGUAGCCGAUCUGAGAGGAUGACCGGCCACAUUGGGACUGAGACACGGCCCAAACUCCUACGGGAGGCAGCAGUGGGGAAUAUUGCACAAUGGGGGAAACCCUGAUGCAGCGACGCCGCGUGAGUGAAGAAGUAUUUCGGUAUGUAAAGCUCUAUCAGCAGGGAAGAUAAUGACAGUACCUGACUAAGAAGCCCCGGCUAACUACGUGCCAGCAGCCGCGGUAAUACGUAGGGGGCAAGCGUUAUCCGGAUUUACUGGGUGUAAAGGGAGCGUAGACGGAGUGGCAAGUCUGAAGUGAAAACCCUGGGCUUAACCUGGGGACUGCUUUGGAAACUGUUAAUCUAGAGUGUUGGAGAGGUAAGUGGAAUUCCUGGUGUAGCGGUGAAAUGCGUAAAUAUCAGGAAGAACACCGGAGGCGAAGGCGGCUUACUGGACAAUAACUGACGUUGAGGCUCGAAAGCGUGGGGAUCAAACAGG